UGGGGGAUAUUGCACAAUGGGGGGAACCCUGAUGCAGCGACGCCGCGUGAGGGAAGAAGGUUUUCGGAUUGUAAACCUCUGUUCUUGGUGACGAAGAUGACGGUAGCCAAGGAGGAAGCCACGGCUAACUACGUGCCAGCAGCCGCGGUAAUACGUAGGUGGCAAGCGUUGUCCGGAAUUACUGGGUGUAAAGGGAGCGUAGGCGGGAAGAUAAGUUGGACGUAUAACCUAUCGGCUCAACCGGUAGUGGCGUUCAAAACUGUUUUUCUUGAGUGAAGUAGAGGUAAGCGGAAUUCCUAGUGUAGCGGUGAAAUGCGUAAAUAUUAGGAGGAACACCAGUGGCGAAGGCGGCUUACUGGGCUUUAACUGACGCUGAGGCUCGAAAGCGUGGGUAGCAAACA
This 401-nucleotide ribosomal RNA is filed under the name uncultured bacterium. RNAcentral's name for it is "bacterial SSU rRNA". It matches the Rfam family "Bacterial small subunit ribosomal RNA", at positions 355 to 774 of the family's 1533-position model. The record is from RNAcentral.